AACGAACGCUGGCGGCGUGCCUAACACAUGCAAGUCGUGCGAGAAAGUUCCUUCGGGAGCGGGUAAAGCGGCGCACGGGUGAGUAACACGUAGGUAACCUGCCCCCCAGUCUGGAACAACUAGAGGAAACUCUAGCUAAUGCCGGAUGAGACCACGAUCCCUUCGGGGGUUGCGGCCAAAGAUGGCCUCUACUUGUAAGCUAUCGCUGAGGGAUGGGCCUGCGGGCCAUUAGCUUGUUGGUGAGGUAACGGCUCACCAAGGCUGUGAUGGCUAGCUGGUCUGAGAGGAUGACCAGCCACACUGGGAGUGAGACACGGCCCAGACUCCUACGGGAGGCAGCAGUGGGAAUAUUGCGCAAUGGGCGAAAGCCUGACGCAGCGACGCCGCGUGGGUGAUGAAGGCCUGGUCGUAAG
This 413-nucleotide ribosomal RNA is filed under the name uncultured bacterium. Its description in RNAcentral is "bacterial SSU rRNA". It matches the Rfam family "Bacterial small subunit ribosomal RNA", at positions 29 to 429 of the family's 1533-position model. The record is from RNAcentral.